CCUANGGGUGGCAGCAGUGGGGAAUUUUGGACAAUGGGCGAAAGCCUGAUCCAGCAAUGCCGCGUGCAGGAUGAAGGCCUUCGGGUUGUAAACUGCUUUUGUACGGAACGAAACGGUCUGCCCUAAUACGGUGGGCUAAUGACGGUACCAAAGGAAUAAGCAUCGGCUAACUCCGUGCCAGCAGCCGCGGUAAUACGGAGGAUGCAAGCGUUAUCCGGAUUCAUUAGGUUUAAAGGGUGCGUAGGCGGAAUAAUAAGUCAGUGGUGAAAUCUUGCCGCUUAACGGUGAAAUUGCCAUUGAAACUGUUAUUCUUGAGUAUAGUUGAGGUGGGCGGAAUGUGUAGUGUAGCGGUGAAAUGCUUAGAUAUUACACAGAACACCAAUUGCGAAGGCAGCUCACUAAACUAUCACUGACGCUGAGGCACGAAAGCGUGGGUAGCGAACAGGAUUAGAUACCCUANUANUC
Molecule: ribosomal RNA, 465 nt
Filed under: uncultured bacterium
Lineage: Bacteria
Description: bacterial SSU rRNA
Rfam family: Bacterial small subunit ribosomal RNA
Source: RNAcentral